GAGAAGAGUCAAGAGACCCAGAAAUUGCUAACUAUCUGAUACUAUGGUUAAAAUCCUUAGUCUACUCG
This 68-nucleotide transfer RNA is filed under the name Pachyhynobius shangchengensis (Shangcheng stout salamander). RNAcentral's name for it is "tRNA-Ser". Lineage: Eukaryota; Metazoa; Chordata; Amphibia; Caudata; Hynobiidae. The record is from RNAcentral.